Non-coding RNA from Caenorhabditis elegans, 21 nucleotides. NCBI's taxonomy places the organism in Eukaryota, Metazoa, Nematoda, Chromadorea, Rhabditida, Rhabditidae. The record is from Ensembl.
UUCUUCAAUUACCAAUUUUCA